UUUUUUUUUUUUUUUUUUUUUGUAGAGAUGGGGUCUCACUACAUUGCCCAGGAUGAUCUCAAACUCCUAACCUCAAGCAACCCCUCUGCCUCAACCUCUCAAAGUGCUGGGGUUACAGGUGUGAGCCACCGUGCCCAGCCAAUAUGAGAACCUUAUUUAUUUAUGUAUUUUUGUGUUGACUGAUUGAUUGUAGACAUGGGGGUCUCACUACAUUGCCCAGGCUGGUCUUGAACUCCUAGACUAAGCAAUCUUCCUGCCUCCACCUCCCCAAGUGCUAGGAUGAUAGGUGUGAGCCACUGCACCCGGCUGAGAACUUUUUUAAAUCAAAAAAAGGUCCUUUAGUGGAAUAAACACUUGAUUUCUAAAACUCUUCUGAUUUCUGACAUUCUUAGAAUUUUAUAAUAACAAGAUUUGAGGUUCAGUGCAGUAUUCUGUGAACGCUGGUACAAGUCACAGUUGAGGCCAACAAGCAUUUUUACUGCAUUCAUUUGUGCUACCACAAGGCUGAGGACCAGUCUGGGUGGAUUCCGUGAAGAGGGGUGACAGCGCACCAACCAGGAACGCAGAACCCACGUCCUCCUCCAGCCUCUCCUCGACACCUCGAGACUCAAGGACACUGCAUCCCGAGGCUCAACAGCCCUGCCUGGGAAUUCCUGAAGAGGGGAGAGCCCUCUGUAGCCGGUACCCCGAGUCACCCGGUUUCCUUCGGCUCACAGUGGCCACGUUGUUCCAAGGACCAUGGCUUCUAGUAGCCUCUCGAAACUCCAGGGGCUUCUCAACGUUAUUCAUGGAUUUUCCUGUGGCAGGAGUGAGGGAGCACCUCAGUCAGAUCGCGAUGUCACUCACUCUAACACCAAAGCCAGCCACUCAGUGCGCCUGCGAACACCUCUCCUGCAUGCUCGCUGAGUAUGUGGACCAAGGCCAGCUCCCUCAUUUGACUUUCAGCGUAGCUUUCUGUAUGACUCCUGCAGGGAAAUGGCCUUCUCCCACUGAACUGCUCCUCACAGAGUAACACUUGUUCCCAGGCCGCGUUUGCCACACAGCCACAUACCACACAUCCUAGGAGGCACCUGGAGGUUACCCACGCUUUGAAAAAGACUCCAAAAGUGGAGAUGGGACUAUUCAGCCCUUUCUCUUUGGGAUGAUGUCAGUGACAAAGUUCACAGUUGCCGGACACUUCCCCUCUGACCCCAGGCUGUCUGUGCUCACUCUGCCCUCUGUUCUUCAUGCAGGCGGAGCCUACAGACAUGGGCUCUGCCCUGGGAGUGAAGCUUCAGGUGGGGAAGGAGCCAGAUCCAGGGGGAGGCCAUCUCCUACAGCAGCACCCUGCCAGGCUCAGAAGGAAGAGCCAGGCGCUCCCAAGUCCUGGCCUGGCCAAGGCACGCACGGUGCAGAUGCGGGUUCGAGGAGGAGCUGAUGGAAGUCCACAGGAGCUCACCUCCUCCCGAUGCCCUCCCUGCUGCCGCCUGCCCUGCAGUCCCCGGGAAGCCCCUGUGCCCCAUCUUCCUGGCUCACUCCCACAUGCUGCCCCACCCAGCUCAGGGCUGCAGUGAGGAUGGAAGGGGGUGCAGUACACCUGAGUGCACUCUCGUCCAUGAGGGCCUGGCUGGGUUAGAGGAGAGGAACCUGUCAGUCACCGGCACAGCACAGCACAGCUCAGCAAUGGCCAUCACCCAAAAAGACGCCUUGCAAGCACUCUUCUAAUCCCAAGGGAGAAACAGAACACUUUCAGACCCCAGAGAGCACUCACAACUAUCCUAAUUGGGCUUCCCAGCACCUAGCCAGGGAGCGACAUCGUGGUUACCUCCUGAGGAGUUCUUGUUGCCCCUCCUGCUGAGAAUGAAGUCCAGGACUGUACCUACUGUGUGACUGCACCUGGGGGAUAGGCCGGGACAAUGCUGGGCUCUUGUUCCAUUAAGCAGCAGUUUACAAAAUGAAGAGGCGCCACGGAAAGAAAAGCACCCAAAUCUCC
RNAcentral lists this long non-coding RNA (1972 nucleotides) under Homo sapiens (human). Its description in RNAcentral is "non-protein coding lnc-TMEM241-3:1". Lineage: Eukaryota; Metazoa; Chordata; Mammalia; Primates; Hominidae. The record is from RNAcentral.